AACUCUGUGGGAGUUUAUUUUUGUGUAAAUACAUCAUCAAACAGCCCCUAAUUCAGUCCCAAGCUACAGUAUAUAAGAUGAGCCGCUGCCACACUUUGACAAGUUCAUCAGCUGGUAACAAACCUGCUCACAGCUCAGAUCUAGACUCAGAUUUGGUGCCUUUCAGCGUCUCAACAUGUGUUCGAGUCUCUCCACCAGCCGCCUGAUUCUUCUGAUCUCCCUGAGUGUGAUGAUGCUCAUCUUUGUAUCAGGAGCUGCCCAUGUGGAGAAAAACUGCUAUAAAACAUAUUCUAACCAAAAUGUAACAACCACAAAGGCUACACCUAAAUGGGCAAAAAACAUCAUCAGCUGCUUUGAACAAAACAGUCCAGACUGCCUUCAUGGCUAUGAGGUCAAAACAAGUGGAGGAAGAACAUUGUUCCUCAAACCAAACACCGAGUGGCUUAAAAAGAAAAUAAAUGAGAAAACUCUGCUGUGUCCUCCAGUGAUUUCUAAAUGAUGAUGAUGGAAAUGAUGAAGCAAAGUUGAAGUAAAGCAGCAACUGGAACCAUUUCUGCUGAUUUAUGAUUUCACACUUUUACAGAAACAUUUGUUAAGAAAUGUUGAUUAUUUUUUGUAAAUUAUAAAUAGAAUUUAAAAAACAGUUUUAUGGUCACAUUUAGUAAAAAUGUCAUUAAAAAUAAAUGAAUUUUUCUUAUUCUAUCUUCAAGCUGUGAACAAAGACAAAAUCAAUAAAAGCCUUUGAAACUGCAUUCUUUAAUGGUCUCUGUGUGAUCAUUUACACUGUAACAAAGUGUAACUAAUGAGAGUAUCACAGCUGUGAGGUGCUGCAUGUGAGAUGUGUGAAUAAAAUGUAGAUGCAUAUAAAAUUAAAAUGAUG
RNAcentral lists this long non-coding RNA (880 nucleotides) under Oreochromis niloticus (Nile tilapia). RNAcentral describes it as "lncRNA (ENSONIG00000023985.2)". Lineage: Eukaryota; Metazoa; Chordata; Actinopteri; Cichliformes; Cichlidae. The record is from RNAcentral.